AUCGCUUCUCGGCCUUUUGGCUAAGAUCAAGUGUUGUUUGUCUGGGACACUCUUUAUUUCUCCUUCUAUUCUGAAUUAAAGCCUUGCUAGAUAGAGUAUUCUUGGCUGUAGUUUUUUUCCUAUUUACGACUUUGACUAUAUCAUG
Molecule: small nuclear RNA, 145 nt
Filed under: Suricata suricatta (meerkat)
Lineage: Eukaryota; Metazoa; Chordata; Mammalia; Carnivora; Herpestidae
Description: U2 spliceosomal RNA (ENSSSUG00005013429.1)
Rfam family: U2 spliceosomal RNA
About the family: U2 is a small nuclear RNA (snRNA) component of the spliceosome (involved in pre-mRNA splicing). Complementary binding between U2 snRNA (in an area lying towards the 5' end but 3' to hairpin I) and the branchpoint sequence (BPS) of the intron results the bulging out of an unpaired adenosine, on the BPS, which initiates a nucleophilic attack at the intronic 5' splice site, thus starting the first of two transesterification reactions that mediate splicing.
Source: RNAcentral